This 397-nucleotide ribosomal RNA is filed under the name uncultured bacterium. Its description in RNAcentral is "partial 16S ribosomal RNA". It matches the Rfam family "Bacterial small subunit ribosomal RNA", at positions 523 to 918 of the family's 1533-position model. The record is from RNAcentral.
AUACGUAGGGGGCAAGCGUUAUCCGGAUUUACUGGGUGUAAAGGGAGCGUAGACGGAAGGCCAAGUCUGAUGUGAAAGCCCGCGGCUCAACUGCGGGACUGCAUUGGAAACUGGUCAUCUGGAGUGCAGGAGGGGUAAGCGGAAUUCCUAGUGUAGCGGUGAAAUGCGUAGAUAUUAGGAGGAACACCGGUGGCGAAGGCGGCUUUCUGGACUGGAACUGACGUUGAGGCUCGAAAGCGUGGGUAACAAACAGGAUUAGAUUCCCUGGUAGUCCACGCCGUAAACGAUGAAUACUAGGUGUCGGGUUUCUAUAGAGAUUCGGUGCCGCAGCAAACGCAAUAAGUAUUCCACCUGGGGAGUACGUUCGCAAGAAUGAAACUCAAAUGAAUUGACGGGG